Ahaetulla prasina is the source of this 1147-nucleotide long non-coding RNA. RefSeq lists it as uncharacterized. Lineage: Eukaryota; Metazoa; Chordata; Lepidosauria; Squamata; Colubridae. The record is from RefSeq and is a predicted model, not a curated record. The transcript has 3 exons.
UCAGUUUACCCACUGUGCAGUAGGUAGCACUUAGGCUGUUGACUUACUUAGGUGCCUUCUGUUGAAUUAUCAGAAUUGUUAUAAGGUAUCUUCCCUGCCCAGCAAGACAACUCCAGCGGGUCAGAAGCAGUGGUAGGUUGCCCCUGGUCCAGACCGGUUCUUGCGAACCGGUAGUAAAAACCGGGGGAGGCUCCGCCCACCGACCCCGACAUCAUCAGGAAGCUUCUGCACAUGCGCAGAAGCAAGCAAGCAAGCACAGGCGAAGCAACUGCGUGUGCGCGAACCUGCUGCAAACCGGUAGUAAAGUGGUGGGUUUCUACCGGUUCGCUCCGGUUUGGCCGAACCGGUAGUGGCCGCAGUGGGAGGCUCCACCCAACGUCAUCACGGAUGCUCUGCACAUGCGCAGAAGUGCCACAAGUGCGCUCCAAACUGGUUCCAAACCGGUAGUGAAGAUCAAAGGAAAAGACCGAAAGAGUUGUAUUUAGAUUGCCAAGAACACAAGAGUAAGCUGACAUCAUGCAAUUCAAAAGAAUGUAAACUUCGGCAAAAGUUCGGAAGGAAAAAAAUGCAAACCCGAAACACAGCUUCUGCGCAAAAGGGAAUCACAGUCGCAUUGCAGAGAUAUAAUCACAUCGCGCAGGCUUAAGUUAGAUAUAAUGAAGCAUUGUUGAGAAAUUAACAAAUGAAGAAAGGAUGUUGCGUGUUUUCACAGUUCACCGAAAUAUGACAAGGCUGUGAAGGAUGUUCUCUGUUCUCUGUCAUUUUUAAAUAGCUAAAAAAAAUAUAUCUGUUUCAAACCGUUGUGACCUCAAACUUCAUUUGGGGAACUCUUUAGAAAUGUGAACCGCAUACAUUGAUCUAUAUAUUAAGAUUAUUUCCUUUGCUUUUUAAACAUAUCACAUUGCAUGAGUCUCUCUCAAGGGUCAGUUUGAUGUUGAGCAGGUAAAGCUACAAACGGCCACGAGACCUUCUGAGUCUUAAUAUUAACAAUUAACGCAUGGAAGGAGAACCAAGGCAGGUGAAAUCUUGACCCCCAUCGCUCAAGAUGGUUUCACCUUUCGAAUAAAAAGUUGUUUCCAAUGAAACUGUGGCAGAAAAGAACUCCCUGGAAGUAGCGUCGGAAAACUUAGAAUAAAGAGAGACGUUU